RNAcentral lists this ribosomal RNA (301 nucleotides) under uncultured bacterium. Its description in RNAcentral is "partial 16S ribosomal RNA". It matches the Rfam family "Bacterial small subunit ribosomal RNA", at positions 509 to 807 of the family's 1533-position model. The record is from RNAcentral.
CAGUAGCCGCGGUAAUACGUAGGGUGCGAGCGUUAAUCGGAAUUACUGGGCGUAAAGCGUGCGCAGGCGGUUCGUUAAGACAGAUGUGAAAUCCCCGGGCUUAACCUGGGAAUGGCGCUUGUGACUGCAAAGCUAGAGUGCGGCAGAGGGGGAUGGAAUUCCGCGUGUAGCAGUGAAAUGCGUAGAUAUGCGGAGGAACACCGAUGGCGAAGGCAAUCCCCUGGGCCUGCACUGACGCUCAUGCACGAAAGCGUGGGGAGCAAACAGGAUUAGAUACCCCCGUAGUCCCUGUCUCUUAUAC